Mugil cephalus (flathead mullet) is the source of this 77-nucleotide small nucleolar RNA. RefSeq annotates it as small nucleolar RNA SNORD34. The record is from RefSeq and is a predicted model, not a curated record. NCBI's taxonomy places the organism in Eukaryota, Metazoa, Chordata, Actinopteri, Mugiliformes, Mugilidae. The transcript has a single exon.
GCUGUCUGUGAUGUUAAUAAUCCUUACCUACCUUGUUUGAAUAAUGACUUUGAAAAUAAUAACUUUCUGAGACAUGC